CAUAAACAGAUGUCGUUAAGAUCUUUUAAUCAAAUAACAUCCAAAUUAUACAAGACGCGUAUUUUUUAUAUGUAUUACAUAUUCAUUGUUUUAUUGUGACAUCUCAACAGAUCAAAAUAUUUAUGUCUGAGUGUUCCAUAAAAAUCGUUGCGCAACUGUAUUAUCGUUCAUUGCGUACUAAGAAAUUCUGAUAAACGUCAGUGCUAAAAAAAUAUGGGAAACAAGCACCAGUAACAAUAAAUGACAAGACAUAACGAUGCUUUCCUAUCGCGUUGAAAAACAUUACAAAAUGUACAGAGGUAUCGCAACACAUAAAUAACGAAUGUACAGUUUAACGUAAAACACGAGCAAAUUAUCAUUAUCUAUUUACUCCAAUAACAAAUGCAACGAAUAGUCAACGCACAGUAGAAAUUCAGGGGUCCCUUUUCUGUUGAGUGUCAUAAGGGAAUGGCCCUUAAAAUCAAUUGUUCUCGUCGAAAGAUCAUCUACAUUGACACUUGUAAACUAUAACUAUCAUUACUUAAAAAAAUUAAUGAUGCAAGUAUGUCUUCACGAUUGAGAAAAAAAAACGCAAAAAGAAAUUAAUCGACCUAUACUUUCUAAAUAAUUCCACAGUGUCAUUGGACUCAACGCUGACUUGCUCUGAAAAUACACUGCGACCUGGCGAGCAUGCGACGAAACAAGGUUAUUCCACGCUCGUGUCUAACUACGAGUUCUUUUAUUACGACCUAUCUUCCAGGAAUAUUGAUUUUCAAACCCUGAUGAAGCAAGCUGUUGUAUUUACCAAAACAUCGGAAAGUUAAAACUUCCAGGGGCGACUCCAGCUCCGAAUCCAAUUCUAACAAUAUGUACAAUAGCCACGAUAACCUCAAAACUACAGAAAGUAGAGAUGACCAGCGAUAUUAAAAGAAUGUCAUUGUGCCAUGACAAGCGGAAGAGAACGUUAAAAUGAUGCCAAUAAAUUAUUCCUACAAAUCGAGGGCAACGAACCGUUGCAUCAUUGACGGAGUUCUAGAUCUACGGUAUACGCCUAGGCGUGGAUAGUAUGUAAUAAGUGCAAAUACAUAAUACAGAGCAAACAUACUGAACACAGUAAUGGACAAACAGGUCGACCCAGCUAGUGAACGUUACGUCACCCUUCGACCAACACAAGAUCCGCCAGACAUGCUUCGUUAUGACAACAAUGGCAGAGUGAAGGCCGCCUCGCAUCUUGCUGUAGGAUACAGACAAAGGUAACUAAGCUGAGUAAACGAUUUACUCAAUGAGUAAUCGUACGUUGAAAAAACAUAAUCGAGCAGGUCACUUUGUUAAACGACAUUUCAACUGUAAAAAUUCCAAGUAUACCGACUCACGUACUAUUCCAACUUUUCUCAAUGAUCAUAAAUAAUACUCGCUGAGAAGAACCAGGUGGUCCGAAACCUUCAGAGUAUAUAAACUACUUUUAAAAAAUGUUAACGUCACAUAAACAAGUAUCAAUGCCUAAGAUCUACAUAGGAAUCUUAUUAUCAAUGCCUAACAGUCAAUUGUGUACCAAAUUAUUCAGUUGCAAAAGUACCACUUGAAGUUAGCGUCUUGAUUCGAACCCUAUGGUAAAACCAUGUUCAGUUGAUAAAUUUGAUCCGAAUAAACAGAUAUAAAAUAAUCGCACUGAUUUCUGAGAAUUCGAAAUGUUUUGACUUGUCAAAGCCAACGGUAUAGUUAAAGUCUUUAUCGUAUGACAAUUUCUAUAUCUGAUAACAAGAAGACUUAUCGUGACACCAGACAUACCCGGUUAACCGAUAACGUAAGAGAUAAGCCAGUCGUAACAAAACAAAGUACUGAAAAAUAAAGGACCAUUAUUAAAAAGCAACGUAUAUGCAUGUCUGAAAGUCGAAACGAAGUCUAGUCUGUUACCCAUUGAGGUUAUGUAUUUUUAUCUCGUUGAAUUUACACGGUUUAAUACAAUAUUUACAGGUCUUGCAACGACUCGUAAUCGUAAAAUACAGCGAGCAGUUUUUGUAACAGCAUUGAAAAUCAAACGGUACAUUUAUGGGAAAAAUAUUUAGCGACGGAACGACCUUCAACCUCUAUCAGAUAUAUCCUGUCAGCUGUGCGUGUUGUGUGCUAAAAUAAAUGCUCAUAAUAAUAAUUAUAUAGAACUUGUAUAUAUAAAUGUUUACUGAAAAAUCAUCAAUUCAGUGCUUACGUAAGUCUAAUGGGGAUUCAGCGUCCCGACGCUUCUGUAUCAAAAUAACAGGCUCGUCCUGUCAACAAGGUAAGUUCUCGCGACACGUGUAAUUACAAUUAUUUAGCAUUGAAUUCUUUGUCGAAGAAACAAAUUAUGCAUCGCAGCGCCUUGACGAAUUGCAAUGGGCUUUUUUAACACGGUCGACAAUAAUAAAAACGGGAGAAGACUUGAUAAACACAGGAAGCUUCCCAACGUAUUUUACAGAUGUAAAUUAUUGGAUAUGCAUUCAUAUAUGUACAAAGCGGUCAUGGACAUUUAAAGACACGUACUGUUCGUAGGUAAACAAUUUUGUAUUUAUUAGACAGUUUAACGCGAUAAAGUAUACAUGAAACAGCAGACGCAUAAGAGAGCCGGUAAGUAUGCUUAAGUACAGAAGGUAUAAUUACGGGAAAAAAAGUACAACCUACGUAUUCAUUAAACUGGAAACCUUCUGUUGGUUUAAUGCUUAAAAUAGUAGCGAGCACUUUUAUUGAUUAAGGGAAGUAAUCGGAUUGAGAACUCCGAUAGGUCUGCAAAUGGGAUAAAAACGUCUGUGCCAAUAAGAAGAUUGACAAUGAAGAUUGAACCAUGUUCUACUUCGAUUUGCAGCCAAGUUGAACUAAGUACUGGGUGUGUACAAAAGCAGAACUAGUACAGUUUUAUAAUUACCCUGCACACGUGCGAGAAAAAAAUUUCUAAAUUGAUCUUGGAUACAAAGUUCAUACGCGUGACUGGCAAGCUGUUGAAAUUUUUCUUGGAAUUAACCCGUGGAAAGUUACUGGGACUUGUACCAUUGAAAACCCCUAUAGCCCCUACCCGCACGCUUCGUUUCUUUCAUCCCCCUUUUUCCCCCUGACCGUGGGAUUUCAAAAAUAUACGUUACAGCGGCAGCGUCUCUAUGCGGUUAGAAUGUAAACUGAAUUCGAAUAUGGUCUUUUGCGUUUUAGAAAAAUGAUAUUGAAAACGAGAUAUUCAAUUGCUAUGAGUCAUCUUUCAAUUGCCAUUCAAUGAUCAAUAUUCUCCAGUGUCUAUAGAUACUUAAGCGUCUGUAUGGAAGCAUUCAAGCGACAGGUUAUCACUGGGACAAAGAAGAAUGACACUGGGACUUUUUUCUAUUGUCGUUAUUUUAUUAUGAAAAAUUUUUGGGGUGUAACGAAUGAAUGUUAGAGAGUAUCGAUGCAUGGACGCGUUUGGCUUUUUAUGUUUCUGAUACUCGUGAGUAUGAGUUGAAUUUAAUGUGUUCAAUAUUCGAGAAAAAAUUGGUUUUACUAGUGACUCAUGUUGCUUGUAAAUUUUGACAUCUUGAGGCUGCGUAAGAGUUAAGAAGAUAGUGUUUUGAUUCCAAGGUCCACGUGUACUUGGAAAUUACAGAAAUGACAUUCUACGUAAUUUUAAUAUUUGCGAUUCUGGGCGCAGCUGUCGUUGUAGAUUGUUAGAAGAUGAGCUGACAUUGUAUCGAAAUGACAUUGUCCUUAACUAUGAUCUUGCCCUUUCAUCACGCUGGGUCUUUGACGCGUGUCUGCAAAAGUUUCUCAAGUUAGCCUGAAAACUCAAAUCUUUGUAAUUUUUUGUAAUUGAAAAAUUUUUCCUGUUUGGAACUUUUUUCGCUUUUAUAUUUCACGUUCAGUUAUACGCUAUGAAUAAUUCCACUGAAUUUAUGUAUUUCACGCUUGAUACCUAUAUUAGGUACACAAUAUUAAUCCAAUAAUUCAGCUCAGUUGUGUGUUCUUGAUGUAAGAAACCGAGUUGAGUGAGUUAUUUUGAUAAUAAAAAAACUUGUGAAAUUGGAGAAAAGGAAAAAGUACAUUAAAGAAGUUAACAAAAAAUAAACAGAUACGAUGUUCAUUGGCGCUCAUGUGAUAUUUUGUUCAAUCGCUCUAAUCUGUAACUGGAAGUUGAUUAUCGUUAAACAUGUAUUUUGGCAAUAGACCAACGCACUGCCUCGUUCCGUGUGAGUCUUCUUCGGUGUGAAUUAGUUUUUAGAAUUUUCUUUUUUUGAACAGACAAAAUUCUCGGCAGUCUGAAUUUCGCACUACCGCCUUUUUUCGCCUUCUAAAAUAGUCGUAGAAAAGUCUUGUAAAGGGGAGAGGAAAAAGAACCGUGACGUGACCCAUUUUUCGCAAUUUGCAAAAAUCUAUGCUAAAACUGUUAUCGGAUAAUUCUUUGACCACUUACAUGGUAGAGGUAUUUUAAAAAUGAAUUUAGAUUGUACAUUUUCUUGUGAAUUAUCAUACGAUUAAUUGACUAGAUAAAAAAAGGUCAGUAUGGUAAACAAAGAAUGUUCAUGAUCCAACAAUUAAUAAUAUAUUCGACAUUAUCGUUUUCUAUUGGAAAAAUGCGCAUUAAAUUAAAAAUAAAACAGAAACGUGGUUGUUUUUAUUUUUAUAUAUGUUAGUCGAGUCUAAUAAUUAUAUGAUUUAUCAAAUGUGUUAAUAUACUUUCACAAAUAUAUUUGGAAAUUUAGGGUAAAAAAUCCCAUUUUUUUAUCGUUCUGAGUUCUUUGCAGAAUCAGAUAUAACAAUAAUUUCUCGCUGUUCUAAUGUUCUUUAUAAACUCUAAAUAGGCAGCGAAAUGCGAAUACAACCGAGAUAUAGGGAUUUGGCAUUUCUUUAUUACUUCAGAAUAUAAAAUGCUUUUAAUUCUCCAAUAUAAUUUUAUACAAUGGAAUUCUAACCUUCCGUACCAAAUAUAUAUAUAUAUAUAUAUAUAUAUAUAUAUAUAUAUAUAUAUAUAUAUAUAUAUAUGUAUAGAAUAUAUCUGUAUAGCUAUACAAGCCCCAGGCUCUAGUGAUGUAAGCAUGUGAGUUUAUAGCGGUGACUGUUUCGCUUUUCUAUCUUACUUUAUUGUACGUCGGAUGCAUACCUGCAUCUCUGGGGCCACGGCAAUUCCUAGCACGUACAAAUGCGAAAGCCCCUCAAACAAUGAGUCAAAC
This is a long non-coding RNA of Cephus cinctus (wheat stem sawfly), 5138 nucleotides long. RefSeq lists it as uncharacterized. Lineage: Eukaryota; Metazoa; Arthropoda; Insecta; Hymenoptera; Cephidae. The transcript has 5 exons. The record is from RefSeq and is a predicted model, not a curated record.